Long non-coding RNA from Ursus maritimus (polar bear), 1345 nucleotides. The record is from Ensembl. Lineage: Eukaryota; Metazoa; Chordata; Mammalia; Carnivora; Ursidae.
GGGAGGUUGUGCGGAGGGAGCGGGGCGCCCACGAUGGGUCCGCAGAAGGUGGCAGGGCUGCAGCCCAGGGGCGGGGGCGCUGCCUUCUAAUUCACAGCAGUUCAGGGAGCACUGGUUGGGGGGUAGGUUCGGAAUGGCUCUAGGACAGCGCCCGCCGUAGGAUAGAGGAAGUAGACACUGACGGACCCCCUUAUAUGUUCUGGGGACCGCUCUACUGAGAAACAUGAGCCCCCAGCCCAGGUUCCUGGCACACUGCAGGUGCUCCAAGAGCUUUGUGAAGGAGGAAGACGGACAAGGGACAAGCUGCCGACGAGUGAUCUCCCGAAGAUGGCUGCACCAUCUCCUGGGUGCCAGGACAGGAGAAGGCACACAUGUCAUCAUCUGGCUCCAGGAGGAAGGCCGCGGUCUGUCAGGACAGGGGUGCUGGGCUGGACAGGGGUGCUCGGCCAGAGUGGCCAUGCAGCCCGCUCCCUUCCAGCCACUUCCAGACCCACCAUCCGAUACAGGCGCCGAGGGAGCACACAGUUGUGGAAACAGAGUCUGCAAGGGCCCCUGCAGAGCACCUUCGUGUGUUCCCGUCACCCCUCAGAACAACUUCCGAGGGGGCUCUGUGAUGAUGGACAAGCCAGGACAGGGAAGCAGAGGUGCAGAGCAAGUCUACGCAGGCGGACGAGGGGCGGAGCGGGGAUUUGCCCGCAGGCAGUCUGACUUGGCCAUUUGCGGAUCUGGAUCUCUGCUCUGCCAAAUACACGCUGUCUACACUGGGUAAUUACUUGACCUCUCUAGGGCACACGGCUCUGUGAUAUCAAUGAUUGCAUGUUUACGGCACUUAGCACCUCAGAUGGCACAGAAACGCCGGGCACUGGCCAUCACUCUUCUGCCAGUUGGAAAUGAACUUCAGACGGUAGCUUCCGCUCGCGGACAGUGGCCACCUGCUCUCGUUCUCUGCUUCUUCCUCUGCCAUUCUCUGCUUCUUCCUCUGCCGCGGACCUGGGUACCCGCCCCUCCCGCUGCAGGGAACCCUGGCCUCUCCUGCAGGUGUACCCACCCCUGCACUCUCACACCAGGCAGGAGUGCGGCCGGCAAGGCUGGCCACUCCAUCCAGCUUGCUCACGGGCUCCAGCCCUGGCCCUAGAGACUUCCUGAGCAGAUCCACUCGAGUGCACACACCCCAGCCUGGCAGCCGGCUGCCACCCGGCAGGAUCCCCAGGCCUCAGAGGUGGGGAUAGGACCAGGUGACAAGGGGCAGGCUGGGACACUACUGGCAGCCGGGCUGGAGGGGCUGGAGGCUCCACCUCCCCCCUCCCGCCCCCUCCCCCUUCCCUUCCCCCUCAGCAGAUCACAG